GAAAAAGAAAUGAGAAACAUGAAUUCUGCAGCACCAGAUACUCCAUUCUACAACAUAUGUGCCUGUUAUCACCAUUAUCCAGAGGGACUUGAAGGGAAUUUCAUAAGGAUGAUAACAGCACUAGCACAGAUUAAAAACGCUAAAGUACUUGGGUAUGUCAUUGCAUCUCCUGUCCUAGGUGCCUGAUGAAACAGCACCCAGGCUGUGGGGUGUCUUGUAAUGUGGCUGUAUAAGACAGGAGAUUUAAACGACCAGCUUUCACAGAACAAAAUGACCCACGGAGACAGCAGUCUGUGCUUCUAAUCAUAUCUACCAUUAUAAGACACAACAUGGGAUUUCCCACCCUUAUUCUUGUGGCUGGAACCCCAGAGGCAGUUUAUGAUCCAGCAAAAGAGAAAAGAACUGCAAUGACUGCCUCCCCAAGGAUGCUUUCCCAGGGAAGUUAAACUAUAGAUUUCACAAAAGCUGACUUUCCUGUUUUGCUCUUCCUCUUUACUUCCCUUUCAAGAUAGCCCUUCCUCGUCUUUUUAAUACCCUGCCUUUCCCCUCCACCCUUCCUCCCAGCAACUUUGCUGGGGACAAGAGUUACCACACACCUUAGAGAGGAUGAAGCUAUCACAGCUGUUGUGGCACAGAGCAGGCAAAAUAGUGCUGUAACACCCACCCUGAGCCCUACUUAUACUACUCUGUCCCUAACUCCACACCUCCUAGCUGCAUGUCAUGCUCCUUCCUUAGUUUGAGUAUUGCAAACUGCUAGUUUUCAUUUCUGUUGUUCUUUCAGAUCCACGCUAAGCAGAAAACCUCAGUGGUACUGACAGCGCAGAAGGGAAGACCUAACAGACAAUAGCUAGCGUGGGAAAGCAAAGCUGACUUUCAUUGGAGUAAGCUUUUUAAAGCUUUCACAUCAUCCCACCAGAGCAGAAGAGGGCAUUGGUUUGCAAGGGGCAGACGAGGUACUAUGAAUAGGGAGAAAGAAGAAGGAAGAGCUUUUUACUGCUUUUUGGCUCAAUGUAACCAUCUCCAAGCCUGAUAUGGUGCAUAUAAAUGAGCAGUUUGAGCUCUACGGACUGCACGUCUUCUUCACACCUCUGAAGAGCAGUCUGGCUCCCAUACCUGACAACCUCAAACUGGCUGUUCAUCGAGUGAGCAAACAGCUUGUGUGGAUGAGGGGGAUGUGAGCAGCAUCACAUAACUCACUGAACACUCUGUAUCAAAUUUUGUGUUUAUAUGUCUGCAUUCAGUUGGAGGCAAUUUGCUAGCCACUGCAACUUUGGACGUCUCUCUGCAACAAAUCAAGCAUAAAAUUGGAGAAACUGGAGAAAGCUUACAGGACUUAUAUUACUCCUAGCUUUACCACAUUAGCAGUUAAUAGAACACGAGGCACAGCACUACUGUUGGCUCAGGCAGCCUCUGCUAUUAAAAAAAAAAAAAAAAAAAAGACUAUGCUGAGACUGAGAACCAAACCUUCAGUUCUUGACAGUUCAAAGUAGAUCAAUGCCCCUGUUCUGUACAGGAAGAUAAACAUAAGCCUCGGAAUGGGCAGAAAAUCCUUAGGUAUGCUUAGGAAUAGAAAAAAUAAAUUACGUGCUUCAGAGUCUGAAUAUCACUACAGAGGAAGAACACAAAGAAUUAAUUUAGGCAAGGAAGUUAAGUGUACGAGGCUUGAGUCAGCCCUGCAGACGUGCACCAGAACAUUUAAACAGAAAGCAGGCUCUGAAAGAAAAAGUUUUGCGCAUGGGCAAACUGUCUCACUAGGUAAACAUUAGUAAUACCAGUGAAACCUGAAUAUAUUUUGGGAGAACAUCAAAAUGCAAAAAAGCUGUCAGAAUAACAGAGCCUUUGACACAACCCUGGAGCACACUCCAUAUGGCAAAUAGCAGCAGCCAAGGAAGAGACCAUUGCUUACAUUGUUGGAGCAGCUUGAGAAUUUCUAGAGAUGGACUUUUUUGCUUAACUAAAACAGUUCAGUUCUACCUCUGCAGGUUCAUCUGUCACUGGUACAGAAAGACCUAGCUGCACAAUAAAUUUGAGCUCCAUUGUUUUUCUUGUUUAGUUAAAUAUCUUAAAAAAAAAAAUCUUGGCUGAACUAUCCCCAUUCUCCUCAAGCUCUCAGUAUUUUUCCACUGCUGCAGUGCCAGGAGCUGGGUACAGCAAAAGCUGAUCAGCUGCAGUCUUCCUUGCUAUGCAGUUCCAUGUUGCUAGGUAUAGACUGCUUACUUAAAAACAAAUACAUUAAAAAGCGGUUGUAUAAAUAAAGCAUCAGAAGAUGUGUGUGUGGGGAAAGGUAUGCUGACAAGACAGGCUCUGGGCUUGCUCUCUUUUUAAACAGAUUUAAGUGAGUUUACUUCAACAAGGUGUCACCUGCUGAUUUGUACCAUUGUAAUAGCAAAAGCAGACUCAGAUUCUGCCUGAAAAGACCAGGCAGAUUUAAGUGAAUUCUCUUGUGCUGGCCUUUUGCUAUUUUAUACAAUAAUAAAAUUGCACGUCCUUUCAUACAACCACACUUUUCACCUGCUGGUAUACGUGACUGUACGGUAUUAGUUCUUCACGAAGGCAUUUAUUUAAAUUAGCAAGACUUUUUAAAACAAUGGACAAAGGAGGAAAUAAUUGAGAAGCAAAAGGAAGGAAGAAAUCAGGACUCCCAUGCAGUAGGAGAAUGACAGAUUUGUGAGCUGUACUAAUCAAAUAUUGUUUAUAAGCAGUAAUUUGCUGCUCCCAAGCCACUGGUCAAGGAAUUAGCACCACUCUGAAAUUAAGUUACUUUACCUCUAUGGAUGGUAACAAAGAUUAUAAUGAACUGAAAGAGGAGGAGGGAUCCAUACAAAGCCAACCAGAGUACUCGGUGGCUUGGAACCCACUGUGUUUUUGUCAUGGAAGGAAUCAACAGGUCACAAUAUUUAAUUCUCUGUGUUCACAAAAACUUCUGCUUUGUUAAGAUCAAACGUACAAGAAAACUCGUACCCUUCCCUUCCACAUGGAAACAAACAUCAGUUUCUCAGGGGAAGAAAAAAAUCUCCUCUCAACUUAUGUCAUGAUGCUCAGGAGACAAACUAUUUCAUGAAUCUGGCACAAAAGGAUUAGCAAAUUGCAAGAUGCAAGUGCCUCCUUGCAAAUAGCAAGGUGCUGGGAGAAAGAUGUAGUUCCCCUCAGACUAUGCAUUGCUUGCACACCUGUAUUCCAGUUAGCCAUUAAUACUAGCAAAUUGCAAAAUUCUUGGCUCGAUGGGGGACCAUGCACAAUUAACUAUUCCUGUGCAUACUGUAUCCCCAGCUAAGCUGGUGAAUCAGCUGGGCUGCAAACUGAAUGUCUGUGGAUCCUAGUGAGUGUGAUGCCAAAAUAACGCACAGUCAACUUCAUUCAGCCUGUAGGCUCAGUCCUACAGGUAUGUGUCAUGUCCAGCACUGUGUGCAGACACAGUCUUGCUGAGAACAGACUCCUCAGUAGCAGCAGUAGUGAAGAAGCAGGGAGGUGACUGGAGUAUGCACGUGUGGUUAGAACAGCAAGAAGUCCUAGUGACUGUGACAUCAAAGGAGCACUGGGGGAUCACUUACCACAGACAAAGACAUAUAAAGACAUACUUUGAAA
Cygnus olor (mute swan) is the source of this 3585-nucleotide long non-coding RNA. RefSeq lists it as uncharacterized. NCBI's taxonomy places the organism in Eukaryota, Metazoa, Chordata, Aves, Anseriformes, Anatidae. The record is from RefSeq and is a predicted model, not a curated record. The transcript has 3 exons.